GGACGAACGUUGGCGGCGUGCUUAAUACAUGCAAGUCAACUGAAGCAGUGGUAGCAAUAUCGCUGUGGAGGUGGCGCACGGGUGAGUAACACGUAGGUAAUCUGCCUUCAGGUCUGGCAUAACUCCGGGAAACCGGGGCUAAUAGCAGAUGAUGCAGCGGCUCGACAUCGAGACAGUUGUUAAAGCUAUGGCGCCUGAAGAUGAGCCUGCGUCUGAUUAGCUAGUUGGCGGGGUAACGGCCCACCAAGGCAACGAUCAGUAGCUGGUCUGAGAGGAUGAUCAGCCACACUGGAACUGAGACACGGUCCAGACUCCUACGGGAGGCAGCAGUAAGGAAUAUUGCGCAAUGGGAGAAAUCCUGAAGCAGCAACGCCGCGUGAGGGACGAAGGGCUUUUGCUUGUAAACCUCUGUAGUGAGAGAAAAAAAUCCCAAUCUUUGGGACAUGAUGGUAUCUCAAAAGUAAGCCCCGGCUAACUACGUG
Molecule: ribosomal RNA, 482 nt
Filed under: uncultured bacterium
Lineage: Bacteria
Description: partial 16S ribosomal RNA
Rfam family: Bacterial small subunit ribosomal RNA
Source: RNAcentral